UCGUAUCGAUAGAUUGGGAUAGUCUUCAAAUAAAUUAGAAAAACCCGAGAUGACUUCUUUUGUUAAUGGCGGGCCACAAAUAUCAUGAAAUGAUAAAGUCGUAAGACCAGUGGAUUACAAAGGCAAGAAGCUCUCUUAUCAUUGAUACUCGGACUUUUCAUCAUAUCAUCGAUGCGGCUCUUUU
RNAcentral lists this small RNA (184 nucleotides) under Prevotella amnii. RNAcentral describes it as "Bacteroidales-1 6S-Bacteroidales RNA suggested". It matches the Rfam family "Bacteroidales-1 6S-Bacteroidales RNA suggested". The record is from RNAcentral. Lineage: Bacteria; Pseudomonadati; Bacteroidota; Bacteroidia; Bacteroidales; Prevotellaceae.